CUGGAAUAUGUCUAUAAAGGGAAGUUUUCCCUCAUCAACUAUUUGGUUUACCUGGUCACUUUCAUGGAGGAAAGCUUUGACCACCGGGAGGGCUUUUGGUUGACACUUACGCCCCUGUGACAUAUUCCCGGAGAGACUUUGUCCCUUUCAUCUCCGCAUUCCUAGCACGGCUACCAGCAGACAUCCAGGAAGUGUUCAUCGAAGGAGUGAAGGAAAAAAAGGCC
Molecule: long non-coding RNA, 224 nt
Organism: Herpailurus yagouaroundi (jaguarundi)
Lineage: Eukaryota; Metazoa; Chordata; Mammalia; Carnivora; Felidae
Exons: 3
Source: RefSeq, a predicted model, not a curated record